RNAcentral lists this ribosomal RNA (497 nucleotides) under uncultured bacterium. RNAcentral's name for it is "partial 16S ribosomal RNA". It matches the Rfam family "Bacterial small subunit ribosomal RNA", at positions 28 to 507 of the family's 1533-position model. The record is from RNAcentral.
GAUGAACGCUGGCGGCGUGCCUAAUACAUGCAAGUCGAGCGAACAGACGAGGAGCUUGCUCCUCUGACGUUAGCGGCGGACGGGUGAGUAACACGUGGAUAACCUACCUAUAAGACUGGGAUAACUUCGGGAAACCGGAGCUAAUACCGGAUAAUAUAUUGAACCGCAUGGUUCAAUAGUGAAAGACGGUUUUGCUGUCACUUAUAGAUGGAUCCGCGCCGCAUUAGCUAGUUGGUAAGGUAACGGCUUACCAAGGCAACGAUGCGUAGCCGACCUGAGAGGGUGAUCGGCCACACUGGAACUGAGACGCGGUCCAGACUCCUACGGGAGGCAGCAGUAGGGAAUCUUCCGCAAUGGGCGAAAGCUUGACGGAGCAACGCCGCGUGAGUGAUGAAGGUCUUCGGAUCGUAAAACUCUGUUAUUAGGGAAGAACAAAUGUGUAAGUAACUAUGCACGUCUUGGCGGUACCUAAUCAGAAAGCCACGGCUAACUACGUG